This is a non-coding RNA of Pelobates cultripes (western spadefoot toad), 434 nucleotides long. NCBI's taxonomy places the organism in Eukaryota, Metazoa, Chordata, Amphibia, Anura, Pelobatidae. The record is from the annotation of a GenBank genome assembly.
GUUGGUUGGUUGGUUGUUUUGAGUUAGUUUGCAUCCUGCAGUAGUAAGGAAAUGUUUGUUUUCAUACUUGUCGUGUGAUGGCUUGCUCUUUUGUUAUAUUAUUAGGCAGGACCUUUGGGAUAGGAUAUGUUUGCGGGAUGUUCCUCUUGUCCCUGCACUUAAAUAUCUUGUCUGGUCUUAUUUUAACGAUGGCCAUAAUAGUUUUUUUUAUUGGUUGAAAUGAUGCAGAGAUACCCACCGCUACAAUUCAAAUAUGCAGUUUGUUUUCCAGGACACACAGCCAUCAGCCUAGCUGGUUUGUGUCAUGGUAAAAAUCAACCUAUACAUUUUUAUGUGUAAUAUAUACAAAACAAAAAAAAAUAAGCUCUACUAAUGCUAAUAUUGUUUCUACUGACUCCUAGAUUGUAGUGAAGAUUCUCAAGCCCUGCAUUACU